Pelobates cultripes (western spadefoot toad) is the source of this 302-nucleotide non-coding RNA. NCBI's taxonomy places the organism in Eukaryota, Metazoa, Chordata, Amphibia, Anura, Pelobatidae. The record is from the annotation of a GenBank genome assembly.
GGAGUGGGUUAUAGUGACACAGUAACAGAGGGAUUGAGGGCCCUGCUCAGUGAGUUUACAUGUUAGAGGGAGUGGGGUAUAGUGACACAGUAACAGAGGGAUUGAGGGCCCUACUCAGUGAGUUUACAUGUUAGAGGGAGUGGGGUAUAGUAACACAGUAACAGAGGGAUUGAGGGCCUGCUCAGUGAGUUUACAUGUUAGAGGGAGUGGGGUAUAGUGACAGUAACAGAGGGAUUGAGGGUCCUGCUCAGUGAGUUUACAUGUUAGAGAGAGUGGGGUAUAGUGACACAGUAACAGAUGGA